Molecule: ribosomal RNA, 23 nt
Filed under: Trichoderma harzianum
Lineage: Eukaryota; Fungi; Ascomycota; Sordariomycetes; Hypocreales; Hypocreaceae
Description: partial 18S ribosomal RNA
Source: RNAcentral
GGUUCGCGGUCCGCGGAGGACAU